Molecule: ribosomal RNA, 694 nt
Filed under: uncultured bacterium
Lineage: Bacteria
Description: bacterial SSU rRNA
Rfam family: Bacterial small subunit ribosomal RNA
Source: RNAcentral
AACGCUAGCUACAGGCUUAACACAUGCAAGUCGAGGGGCAGCAUGGUCUUAGCUUGCUAAGGCCGAUGGCGACCGGCGCACGGGUGAGUAACACGUAUCCAACCUGCCGUCUACUCUUGGACAGCCUUCUGAAAGGAAGAUUAAUACAAGAUGGCAUCAUGAGUCCGCAUGUUCACAUGAUUAAAGGUAUUCCGGUAGACGAUGGGGAUGCGUUCCAUUAGAUAGUAGGCGGGGUAACGGCCCACCUAGUCUUCGAUGGAUAGAGGUUCUGAGAGGAAGGUCCCCCACAUUGGAACUGAGACACGGUCCAAACUCCUACGGGAGGCAGCAGUGAGGAAUAUUGGUCAAUGGGCGAGAGCCUGAACCAGCCAAGUAGCGUGAAGGAUGACUGCCCUAUGGGUUGUAAACUUCUUUUAUAAAGGAAUAAAGUCGGGUAUGGAUACCCGUUUGCAUGUACUUUAUGAAUAAGGAUCGGCUAACUCCGUGCCAGCAGCCGCGGUAAUACGGAGGAUCCGAGCGUUAUCCGGAUUUAUUGGGUUUAAAGGGAGCGUAGAUGGGUUGUUAAGUCAGUUGUGAAAGUUUGCGGCUCAACCGUAAAAUUGCAAUUGAUACUGGCAGUCUUGAGUACAGUUGAGGUAGGCGGAAUUCGUGGUGUAGCGGUGAAAUGCUUAGAUAUCACGAAGAACUCCGAUUG